RNAcentral lists this transfer RNA (72 nucleotides) under Monodelphis domestica (gray short-tailed opossum). It matches the Rfam family "tRNA". Rfam says of the family: Transfer RNA (tRNA) molecules are approximately 80 nucleotides in length. The record is from Rfam by way of RNAcentral. Lineage: Eukaryota; Metazoa; Chordata; Mammalia; Didelphimorphia; Didelphidae.
UCAGCUUUGGCGCAGUAGGUAGCGCAUCAGUCUUGCAAGCUGAAGGUCCCGAGGAGGGUAUGAUAUACUGAG